RNAcentral lists this ribosomal RNA (432 nucleotides) under uncultured bacterium. RNAcentral's name for it is "partial 16S ribosomal RNA". It matches the Rfam family "Bacterial small subunit ribosomal RNA", at positions 29 to 507 of the family's 1533-position model. The record is from RNAcentral.
AACGAACGCUGGCGGCAUGCCUAACACAUGCAAGUCGAACGAGACCUUCGGGUCUAGUGGCGCACGGGUGCGUAACGCGUGGGAACCUGCCCUUAGGUUCGGAAUACUCCUCGAAAGGGGUGCAAAUACCGGAUAAUGUCUUCGGACCAAAGAUUUAUCGCCUUUGGAUGGGCCCGCGUUGGAUUAGCUAGUUGGUAGGGUAAAAGCCUACCAAGGCGACGAUCCAUAGCUGGUCUGAGAGGAUGAUCAGCCACACUGGGACUGAGACACGGCCCGGACUCUUACGGGAGGCAGGAGUGCGGAAUAUAGGAAUGUGGGCGGAAGCCUGAUCCAGCACUGCCGCGUGAGUGAUGAAGGCCUUAGGGUUGUAAAGCUCUUUUACCCGGGAUGAUAAUGACGGUACCGGGAGAAUAAGCUCCGGCUAACUCCGUG